UACGUAGGGUGCGAGCGUUAAUCGGAAUUACUGGGCGUAAAGCGUGCGCAGGCGGUUCGUUGUGUCGGCGGUGAAAGCCCCGGGCUUAACCUGGGAAUGGCCGUUGAAAAUGGCGAACUGGAGUGUGGCAGAGGGGGGUGGAAUUCCGCGUGUAGCAGUGAAAUGCGUAGAGAUGCGGAGGAACACCGAUGGCGAAGGCAGCCCCCUGGGCUAACACUGACGCUCAGGCACGAAAGCGUGGGGAGCAAACAGG
RNAcentral lists this ribosomal RNA (253 nucleotides) under uncultured bacterium. RNAcentral describes it as "partial 16S ribosomal RNA". It matches the Rfam family "Bacterial small subunit ribosomal RNA", at positions 524 to 776 of the family's 1533-position model. The record is from RNAcentral.